UACGGAGGGUGCAAGCGUUAAUCGGAAUUACUGGGCGUAAAGGGUGCGUAGGUGGUUUAGUAAGUUAUCUGUGAAAUUCCUGGGCUUAACCUGGGCAUGUCAGGUAAUACUGUUAAACUCGAGUACAGGAGAGGGUAGUGGAAUUUCCGGUGUAGCGGUGAAAUGCGUAGAGAUCGGAAGGAACACCAGUGGCGAAGGCGACUACCUGGCCUGAUACUGACACUGAGGCACGAAAGCGUGGGGAGCAAACAGG
This 253-nucleotide ribosomal RNA is filed under the name uncultured bacterium. RNAcentral describes it as "partial 16S ribosomal RNA". It matches the Rfam family "Bacterial small subunit ribosomal RNA", at positions 524 to 776 of the family's 1533-position model. The record is from RNAcentral.